AAAACUCAAUUAUGUUAUUUUAGUUUCAAGAUAUUUCGUAGAAGUUGAUACUGAAAAACAUGGCAUUCGUGUUUAAAUUUCUUAACUUAUAAACAAGCAAUAUUGAAAAGAACUGACUCUAACACAUUUAUUAUACAUGCACUUGCAUGCAUACAACCCAAAUUCCUAUCUAAAGGUUCUACUUCUUAUCAUCUGACUCACAACUGCAGUUCAUUAACAUAUAACUAAGUGCACAACUACAGUAGCAGUUACACCGGAACACAACAUCGAGAUACAUGUCACUACUUACAUACUAUGGAAAUGAUGGAUUAAACAAUGAAGGUAUUGUUAAUUUUGAAGAUAAAUGAAAAACAAAGAAAUGACAAGGACAAGUCUGCUGGUAUGUAUUUUAUACCAAGUACUGUCUCUCAUUGUCUCAAUAGACAUCAUUUACCAUGUCAAUGAAGAAGGCACUCCUCAAACCUAUAUAGGAGACAUUGCUAUUGACUCAAACUUAUCAUAUCCUCUUACACAUCAUCAGGACACUCUCAUUACAUUUACACAACUACAAAGGAAAGCGGCUAGUGGUUCUCACUUAUUCAAUGUCACCAACUCUGGGAAACUAUACACUACACAAACAUUGGAUACUGAGUCUUUGUGUACAUACAACAAAGAAUGUUUUAAAAUUGUUAAAGUUGCAGUGAGGAAGGCAGAAACAUUUAUCAAGGUUUUAAAGAUAAAAGUCAUCAUACAAGAUAUUAAUGAUCAUCAACCAGAGUUCCCAGAGGAUCUAAUUAAAAUAGAGUUUGGUGAAACGGAAGCAAAAGGAUCAACAAAAUCAAUACCAAAUGCUGUGGAUAAAGAUAUUGGUCGUCUUAAUUCAAAGAUCACAUAUAGACUCAAAGACAAAAGUAAGAAAUUCUCAUUAUCUAUAUCUAAUGAGUUUGAUGGAAUGAAUAUAUUGGAAAUUAUACUUGAAGAAAAAUUAGACAGAGAAUUAAAAGACAAAUACAUGUUACAGUUACUUGCAAAAGAUAGUGGCUCUCCACCAAAACAAGGUAUUCUGAACAUAGAAAUCUCUGUUACAGAUAUCAAUGAUAACAGACCUAUGUUUUCUCAAAAAACGUACAAUAUUUCUAUCAGUGAUACACAUCAUAUCACCACUCCUGUUUUUGUUUUAUCAGCUACAGAUUUAGAUUCUGGUCAAAAUGGUGACAUUACGUAUAACUUUCACCAAAAAACAAGGUCUGACAUUAAAACAAAUUUCAAACUGAAACCAAAUGGGGAGAUGUUCCUAAAUAAUAAUUUUUACAGAAAUAAGCAGCAAAUAUAUAAAUUAUAUAUUGAAGCAAAAGACAAAGGAAGACCAUCUUUAAGUUCUACUGCCAUGUUAAUUAUCAAUAUAAUUAGUAAUCAAAAUAAUGCUCCAGUUAUAGAUAUAGAUUUUGUAUCCCCUUUAACAGAGAAUUCUACAGCAAUUUCAGAAGCAAGUAAAAUUGGGAGUUUUAUAGCUUAUGUUAUGGUUACAGACACUGAUAGUGGACGUAAUGGACAAAUAAAAUGUAAUAUUCAUCAUAAGAUGUUCCAGCUUUCUAAUAUGGGUUCUAAAGAAUAUAAAAUAUUGGUGAAAGAACCUCUUGACAGAGAAACUAUAGACCAUUAUGUUGUUUCUAUUGUAUGUCAUGACAUGGGAUCACCUCCAUUAAAGACUAAGAAACAGUUCUCUGUCAAAGUAACUGAUGUCAAUGAUGUAGAACCACAUUUCACCAAAGAGACAUUCCAAUUCCUCACCUAUGAAAACCAGAAAGUUGACUUCCCUAUUGGCUUCAUCAAUGCUACAGACCCAGAUCUUGGAGAUGGAGGCCAACUUACAUAUUCUAUCAUCAAUGAUAACAACAAUGAUAACAUUCCUUUCCAACUGACAAAAUAUGGAUUUAUUUCUACAUCACAACCAAUAGAUCGAGAAGUGAAAGACAUCUAUAAUUUACAGGUAUUAGUCAAAGACAAUGGAACACCUUCUCUGAAUAACACUGCUAACAUUCUUAUAGAGAUUCUAGAUAAAAAUGACAAUGCACCAUAUUUUAUCUUUCCUAAUAAUGACCCUUACAAUCUCGAUGUCCACUACCAUCCGCACAGUAAGAAGGACAUCACAAUUCUGAGAGCAUCUGACAAAGACACUGGAAACAAUGCUUUCCUCACAUAUGGAAUACUGAGAUCCAAUGAUAAAAACCUGUUUACAGUGAACUCACACACUGGUGUGUUAUCUUUCUCUCGGACAGUUUACCAAAAUGAUGCAGGAACAUAUGAGCUGGAGUUUAUAGUGAAAGAUGGUGGUACAUCAGUUCAAUCAGUAACAACUGCUAUCAUACUAACACUGUUUGUUAGUAACGAUACAUCUCCAAUGUUGACUGCUGUCCACUCACAGUCUGGUAACAACCUGAAUAUGACUUGGAUUAUUAUCAUUGUAGCAGCAGCUGUAAUACUAUCUGUGGCUAUUGUAGUGUCAAUAACAAUGUGUGUUUUUAGAUGUAUUAACCACUUCAAUAACUCCCCUACACCAAAUGGUAAUCCAAAAUUUCUCUCUCAGACUGAAAUGAGGCAAAUAUUGUAUCAGACUAACAAUCCUGUUGCAAUAACUCGAAAUGCAGAAGACAUAUUUAACAGAAAUCUUCAAUCAAUAAACCCAAAAUGCUCUUAUUACUCAGACAUGAAGCAGUCAGCUAAUGAAUGGAAAUUCUCAACUACCCCCAGAAAAUUACCUCCAGUCCCAAUGCAUUGCAAUGAGGAUGAAACAAUGACUUCAACUGAACAAAAAUGUUAUAGCAGUGGUAUUAUGACAUCAAACAAUCUGAAUGAUACAUUAUCUUCUCAUAAAGAACGGAAAUGUGGUUGGAGUGAUGGGGAUAUUACACAUCAAACAUCUGGAGCAUCAGAAUACGGCAACUACCGACCAAACAUACUCCCUACCCCAAAGACUGUACAAGAGCAAGAAACGUAUCUGGAGCCAGUAUAAUGCAAACACAGUAACAUCAGAUUUACUUUUUAGUAACCAAAGAAUCAACUCCUUAAAUAAUCCAAUAGUGUAUUAAUAACAUUCCAUAUAGCACUGUUUUCAAUUUAUCUUUUAUUGAAAACUCUUUAACAAAUACUUAAGUUAUAAUUUUCUAAUGAAGGUCAUAGGGCUGAUGCUAAUUUUGGUGAGGUUUUCACUACUUUUUAAUUAUGUAGAUAUUUCCAGUAUUAGAAUUUAUAUUAUACAUUGAUAAUACUACUAGAUUUCAGCAAAGCUAUAUUUUGAUAAAUAAAAAUAAAUGGCUGUAUAUAGUUAAGAGUCCAAAUCUGCAGCAACUCUUUUCUUGAAACUGGAAUACAAGUAUCCUAAGACAAGGUACUUAACUCUUCUAGAGCUUCAACUACUGAAAUAGUAUGCAGUCUUUAGGUUCUGAGUUCAAAUUCCACCGAGGUUGACUUUACCUUUCAUGGUUGAUAAAUUAAGUACCAGUUGCAUACUGGGUCGAUCAAAUCGAGUGGCCCUCCCAAAAUUUUUGGGCCUUGUGCCUAGAAUAGAAAAGAAUAUAUAUUUUCUUUUGAUGGCAUUUUUCCUGUCAGGAGCAAAACAUGACUUUCUGUACACACAUACACACACACACACACACACACACAUAUAUUCUUCCCUCUGACAGCUGAAUUUCUACAUUUUCAAACUCUACACCACCUCUGUAAUUAAAACUGAGAUUUCCCUCUAAGAAGAUAAUGCCUAAGCAUGGCACUAAAAUAAACUGUCAAAAAAAUCAUAGAAUCAAGCUCAAUAAUUCUAAAACUAUAGACAUAAUAAUUUUUUACAUGAGAAUUAUAGAAGGCACUCUUUAUAUAAAAGUAGAUGAGUAGAUAUGCCUUUUGCAAAGAUAUUGAUAAAGAAAAGGAAAAUGAAUCUACAACAUUCUUGUCUUAACAUUAAAAUUAUCUUUCAAAUAUAGCAUUUUAUCUAAAUAGCAUUGCACUUAUUUAUUAUUGUAUAGGUUUUGUUGGUAGAAAUGUUAAUGUAUCAAAUGUAUUUAGCCUUAUUACAAACGAAAUAUUAAAAGCAAUCCCAAAUACACAUACCACACAAUCAUUUACAUAUUAAAUACAUUUUAAAAAACAUUUUAAAUGCAUUUAUGAAUUUACAUUUCAAUGGAACUAUUUUUUGAAAUAUGACUGCAAUUUGUGAACAGCGGCAGCAGAUUCAGAAGAAGACUCCUAUGAGAUACAUGUUUUUCUUCAUUUAGGACAACAACAAAGGAUUAAACAAUGAAGCAUUAAGAUAAGAACGUGGCAAUGAGUCCUGCUGAUCAAAAAUGUUAUGGUAGUAUUGAAACAUCAAACAACCUUAGUGAGACGUUACCCUGGAACAAAGAAUGGAACUAUGUCUGGAAUAAAGGAGACAUUACAAUUCAAGCAAUGGGAGCAUCAG
This is an RNA transcript of Octopus sinensis (East Asian common octopus), 4432 nucleotides long. It is a transcript of the gene named putative protocadherin beta-18, with no coding region annotated. The transcript is spliced from 5 exons. NCBI's taxonomy places the organism in Eukaryota, Metazoa, Mollusca, Cephalopoda, Octopoda, Octopodidae. The record is from RefSeq and is a predicted model, not a curated record.